UUCUUUUUCCUCUAUCUGAUAAUUGCUCAUCGCUUCUGGGUAUCAUUUCCCAAAUUAUCCAUUUUCGGUUUCUAAUUUUCUAGCUUUUAUUUUAUUCGUUACUUCUGGUAAGUUUUCCCCUGUUUUUUGCCUUUCUUGCAGUGAUUUCUGCCGUUCACUUCGGAAUUCCUUUAAAAGUUUAUCUAUUUUUGCUUCAAUUUUAGUUUUCUUACUCUUCCGCAUAAUUUCUAGCUUGAUUUUCUAUAUGCAUGUCAGUAAGUCUACUCUAUCUGAUGUGCACAUGCAUGUUUGAGAUUGUACCUGGUGCAUAUAAGCUUAUAUUAUUUUGGCUUACUCAUCGUUGAUAUCUGUUCGUCUUUUUGAACUAAUUACUAACUGUAAAUCGAAAUGUCAGUGCAAAAAUCUAUUGUAUUAUGCUUUUUGUUGGAAGAAUGGGUCUGUGCUACAAUACCAAAGAUUUAAUUGGUGAUAAUAUCGGUUUAUUUGUAAACAUACUUUCAUUGUGUUCUCUUUCUGUAAAUCUUAAUAUAUCUUAUAGUUAAUAAUACUUUCCAUCUGAAUGUUUUUUAUUUUUUACUCUUAUUUUAUUUUAUUGUUUCGAUUAUUUUUCAAUUUUGACUCAAGACGAUGAGAUUUCAAACUGUGCAAACUGAUGAAUCCAAAGUGUUCGGCGAUAUGCCUGAAACAACACAAAAUUAUUUGGUAAGAAUUUCUUCUGUUUCUCUUUUGUAUUAUUGAGCAAAUUAGGACUACCUUCAACUAUACAAAGUUUUACAUUCCUCUGAAUUGGGGACAUUUUUCAUAAAAGUUAUACAAAUGUAGAAAUACUUAUAGAAGGCUAGAAGCAAUAGUAGCGUUUUGCAUUUUUCUUGUUAUUUCAGUUGGAUUUGUUGCUGUUUGGUAAUUGACCAUGGUAUUAAAGUUGAGAUGGUUAAUAAGCUGUCAUUGAUGAUUCUUUUUUUGUCUACCUAAUCUUUUCUUGGCCAAGUAUGGAUGGACCUGUAAUAAUGUAAAAAUAAAUUCUAUUUAAAGGACUUCUCUAUGCAGUAAAAUAUUAUAGAAUGAUAAAACUAAAUCGCUGGACUUCUAGAUUCAGGCGACGAUGAAUUUUUUUGAAGCCCUAGCAAUGAUGUUGAUGCUGGUGACAAACAGAUUGGAAAAAAUGCCGGUCAACUAUCAAUGUGUUGUAUUUAAACCUUUCAAUAGUGAGAUUUUGAAUGCAGUAUUUACCAUAACUCAGAAGGUAAGAAAAUUAUGUUGUAUUUAAGAUAUGCACAAUAUUAUUUCUUAAUUUUUCACUAUCUAUAGAUAUUUCAUUCCUGACUAUAUUAUUUUCUGCUUAUGCAUGUCUACUUCUGAAUAUUUUGUGUCAAUUUGGUAGUAAAAACUGGCACUGAAAGGAACUCAAUUAAAAUAAAGGCUAUAUGAACGAAAUCCUCAAAGAGUGUGAUUCAAUGAUAAGGGCCUUAUUGUUAACCGGAAAUCUGGGGAAUAAUCAAUCUUCUUUUACCAAAAUGAGACAUUGUUGCUUCUUUCAAGGAUUGAAGUUUAUGGAAAGAGAGCUGGAAAGCUCACUAGCUUUUAGUAGCUUUUUGACUGAGUUUGAAGCGAUUC
Long non-coding RNA from Nicotiana attenuata, 1614 nucleotides. RefSeq lists it as uncharacterized. NCBI's taxonomy places the organism in Eukaryota, Viridiplantae, Streptophyta, Magnoliopsida, Solanales, Solanaceae. The transcript is spliced from 3 exons. The record is from RefSeq and is a predicted model, not a curated record.